Molecule: long non-coding RNA, 941 nt
Filed under: Felis catus (domestic cat)
Lineage: Eukaryota; Metazoa; Chordata; Mammalia; Carnivora; Felidae
Description: lncRNA (ENSFCAG00000043896.2)
Source: RNAcentral
CACGGGGGAAAGAAGAAUGUCAGCAAGUGUGGCUUUGGAUUACGAGGCGGUUUCUUUUUUUUUUUUUAAUUUUUUUUAACGUUUUAUUUAUUUUUGAGACAGAGAGACACAGAGCAUGAACGGGGGAGGGGCCGAGAGAGAGGGAGACACAGAUUCGGAAACAGGCUCCAGGCUCUGAGCCAUCAGCCCAGAGCCCGACGCAGGGCUCGAACUCACGGACCGCGAGAUAGUGACCUGAGCUGAAGUCAGACGCUUAACCGACUGAGCCACCCAGGCGCCCGGAGGCGGUUUCUUAAGGGGAGGCUGUGUGGGUAUGAACAGCUCCUGAGUUGCCUUCGGAGGCGGACUGACGCCCGCCUCCGUGCGCUGCCGGGCAGAGCCGGGCCGGGGCUGCUUGGUGUCCCGAGGACGGCGAGUCUCUACUCUUUUCUCGCCACACGCCCCCCUCGGCUGACCUGGACGCGUCCCACUUGGGUGGUCCCGGCGUGCGGAAAGGGUGUCGUUCACCUGCAACUGCUUUGUGACGGAGCGUUCCUCCCCGUGACGAACCUUGGUGGCGUUUGGCAGGACGAGCAGCACGGGUGGCCCUGCCUUUCAGGCACCCACGUGCCAGGAAACAGCAGAGACAAAAGAGAAAACUCUGUAACCAUUGGCCUCCACCCAGGAACCUGGAAGAAAAUGAAGCAAGACAAACAACAGAGAAAUGUGAACAGCAAAAGAGCGAACUCAGAUGCAUUAAAUGGCUUAACAGUCUUAUGCUACAGCCCCAGCAGCUCCCAGCAGCUGCCCUGGCUCCCGGUCAGUGGUCCAAAGUAUUUCUGAGUGAAAGAAGGCCGCCCUCCCUUGUUUACCAAAUAGCUUCAGACACUUGGCAUCGAAUUUCCACUACAGGCCUAAGAGGUAGGUAUUAGCAUUUUCAUUUCACAGGCGAUAAAUCCGAG